AGAGUUUGAUCAUGGCUCAGGAUGAACGCUAGCGGCAGGCUUAAUACAUGCAAGUCGUGGGGCAGCACAGGUAGCAAUACUGGGUGGCGACCGGCAAACGGGUGCGGAACACGUACGCAACCUUCCUUUAAGCGGGGAAUAGCCCAGGGAAACUUGGAUUAAUACCCCAUAAUAAUACAAUUGGGUGGCAUCACCUGAUUAUUAAAGCUCCGGCACUUAAAGAUGGGCGUGCGGCUGAUUAGGUAGUUGGCGGGGUAACGGCCCACCAAGCCGACGAUCAGUAACUGGUGUGAGAGCACGACCAGUCACACGGGCACUGAGACACGGGCCCGACUCCUACGGGAGGCAGCAGUAAGGAAUAUUGGUCAAUGGACGCAAGUCUGAACCAGCCAUGCCGCGUGGAGGAUGAAGGCCCUCUGGGUUGUAAACUUCUUUUAUUGGGGAAGAAACCGGUUUUUUCUAAAGCCGUUGACGGUACCCGAUGAAUAAGCACCGGCUAACUCCGUGCCAGCAGCCGCGGUAAUACGGAGGGUGCAAGCGUUAUCCGGAUUCACUGGGUUUAAAGGGUGCGUAGGUGGGCAGGUAAGUCAGUGGUGAAAUCUCCGGGCUUAACCCGGAAACUGCCGUUGAUACUAUCUGUCUUGAAUGUAGUGGAGGUGAGCGGAAUAUGUCAUGUAGCGGUGAAAUGCUUAGAUAUGACAUAGAACACCCAUUGCGAAGGCAGCUCGCUACACUAUUAUUGACACUGAGGCACGAAAGCGUGGGGAUCAAACAGGAUUAGAUACCCUGGUAGUCCACGCCCUAAACGAUGGAUACUCGACAUCAGCGAUACACUGUUGGUGUCUGAGCGGAAGCAUUAAGUAUCCCACCUGGGAAGUACGACCGCAAGGUUGAAACUCAAAGGAAUUGACGGGGUUCCGCACAAGCGGUGGAGCAUGUGGUUUAAUU
This 948-nucleotide ribosomal RNA is filed under the name uncultured bacterium. RNAcentral's name for it is "bacterial SSU rRNA". It matches the Rfam family "Bacterial small subunit ribosomal RNA", at positions 8 to 951 of the family's 1533-position model. The record is from RNAcentral.